Long non-coding RNA from Panicum hallii, 1644 nucleotides. RefSeq lists it as uncharacterized. The record is from RefSeq and is a predicted model, not a curated record. The transcript has 3 exons. NCBI's taxonomy places the organism in Eukaryota, Viridiplantae, Streptophyta, Magnoliopsida, Poales, Poaceae.
CAAAUACUCCACGGCCGCGCCGGAGUAGCAGGCGCGCCCGCGGCGCCGCCGGCGACCUCCGCUAGUCGCGUAGCCUCGCAUCCCGGCGAUCUUCUGUCGCUACUCACCGCCCAUAAGGAGCCAGGCUCCCCGCGCGCCGCUCGCAUUUUCCAGACCCUCCCCAGUUGCCGUCGCGGCGGAGCGACGGGAGCGGUGUCGCCGGAGACGGCGGGGGACCCCAUGUUGCGAGCGGAUGUCUGUCGCACGACGCGCCGGCGCCGCGCUGGCCUGCGCACAGGCUAGGGGCUCACCUCGCUGUCGUCUUCCUCCCGCACACCAACGUUCCCUCCCCUUAUCGCCUGACUGUGCCCCCGCGCGGUAUUGGUGGCCGGCGAAGCACCCGCGUCGGCGUCGCGGUCGUCUCUAUCGCUCUGGAUGUCUGAAUACACAUCGCGUAGAGAUGGUGGUGCGACUGCUAUGGCUGGCUGUGGAGAAUGGGUUCCUUCAAACAUUUUGAUAGGCAUAUGACUGGGUGACUGAUAACCUUAUGGUUGCAGUCGCAGCAGGUUCUGCAUUGACUGAUAUUCAGGCAUCGAGCAUAUGCUCAUCGGUAUUUCGGUUAUGUUCAGUGUGAUGUUUAGUUAAACAGGUCCACAAAUUUGUCAGAUUCUGCGUAUAAUUUUUUUGCAGUAGUCAUACAUACGUUUUGAAACAAAAGAGCUGACUUGUUAUUACAGCAGUUAAUCUUGCUACACUCGAAUUCAUGAUUGAUUUAUAUGUUUCGAUCUGUGCCUUGCUACAGUUGUUUGGAGUUCCUGCUGAUGGUCCUAGCAGUGAUGAUCAUGUGCUAACAUCCUUUAGUUGAUGAUUGAUUCCUGAAGCCAUCGGGGUUGGUGGCUCGGUGCAACUUGGCGCUACUUGGAUAUGUUUUCGUUAGCCUAGUUCUUGGAAUCUUGAUCCGUUUCUCGUGGCGGAUCAAAUGGUUGGGAGACCUUGCAGAUAGUCAGAAGGAUUAACCAACCGCAAGCUGGACGCUAUAAGAUAGACCGGAACAACCAACCACAAAGGCUGCACACUAUCAGUGAUUAUAGGGACAAUGAGCAACUAGAGGAACAUCGAAACACUGCCAGAGUUUGGGUGAGAGGGGUGCAAGAAGAUCGCAAGUUGCAAAGCGUGGUCAACUAGGCAUGACUUGUGAGGAGCAUGGAUCCAUAGAGAUCUGGUUCCUGCAAACAGUCUUGACUAGCAGAUGUGCAGUACUAGGACUCGUCUGCUGAGAACUUUUGAGUGUGGGAGCGUGGCAGGACUCUAAAGAAUGGCGGCGCCCGCGUGCUUCAGUGGAGGACACCAAUGGCGACGGCACGCUGCCGCCUCGCUUGCUUAUUUCUCGCGUCCACUUGGUGAAAGAUUAAGCAAGCAGACAGGCAAGCUGAUAAACAAGGAGCGGAUAGGCUGGAGAAGGGUUCAGUCAGAUUUGAUUCCGUGCCAACUGCUCGGCUCGCAUACUGAAUCUUUUUUUCCAGCCAGGUUUUUAUUAGUCUGGUCUCUGCAUACUGACUGAUCACUGAUCUGUGACUCACUGGAGUCAGAUCCGACCGAAGAAUCCAGAACAGAACACGUUAUGUUAUCAAUGGGCUGGAGCAUUAUUUCUGUCUGUCUGAAACA